AUGUCGUGGACUUCCGGGGCUUCUUCCGCCCCCGGCUUCCGUCGCGCCAGUGGAAGGAGAGACAUGGAUUCGAGGUCUCCGGUCGCUUACAAGGAGAGCCCAAUGGCGUACGAGCCGCCAAAGUUGUGCCACUGCAGACAGCCACGGAAGGCGCCGAGAUGGAUCUCAUGGAGCCGUCAAAAUCCCGGCAGGAGGUACUACGUGUGCGUAGAUGCAAUGGUGAGCCCCAAUUUGAGUGCUCAUAUCCAUUCUCUUCUGCUCAUUUGUUGGUUUUGUCUGAAAUUGAUUGAUUUCUUGUUCUUGCCUCAUUUUUGUUGA
This 318-nucleotide ribosomal RNA is filed under the name Triticum aestivum (bread wheat). Its description in RNAcentral is "partial small subunit ribosomal RNA". The record is from RNAcentral. Lineage: Eukaryota; Viridiplantae; Streptophyta; Magnoliopsida; Poales; Poaceae.